Anas platyrhynchos (mallard) is the source of this 2485-nucleotide non-coding RNA. The record is from RefSeq and is a predicted model, not a curated record. Lineage: Eukaryota; Metazoa; Chordata; Aves; Anseriformes; Anatidae.
UUUGCUCUAAUUCUGCAAAACAGUCGUUCAAGUACUUUGCUUCAGACUGAAGUGUUUCCAUGGACUUUGCUAGGGUUACUGCCAUUCUUAAAGAUAAACAUUUGCUUACAUGCUUUACUUACUUAGGACUCAACUUCUUACAACAUCUUAUGGUGAAAUCUUUAUGAGGUGCUCAUUGUCUUGGUUCCAACACAUUUAGAAGGCCAGUUAAUGUUUCAAGAAGUGUUCAGCAGCUGUGCUUCACUGAAAAAAACUGAAUUUCUAACUACCAGAGGAAACAUCACUUUGUGCAAGAAGCAGAGCUUUUUCUGGAGGCUGGUUUCAAAGAAAAGCUAUUUUCCAUAUAAAUUAAGGUACAACACACAUCUCAUGAAUCCUCAAUCUUUAGCAGGUAAAACACUUUCUCCACUUCUAUUUGUCACAAACCCACAGAAGGAAGUGGAGUUUUCAAGAGUAACAAGGGAAAACACAGCACAAAACUCUACCAUACUAAGAUUUUACACUGAACACUUGCUAUUCAUUCCCCUGAGAAGCAAUAAGCUACCUGUGAGAGACAUCAGGCAUACUGAGCAAGCACUGCUUGAAAGAACACAGUCUGAUGAGGAAAUACUUUCCAGUUGGAAUACAUGGAUGUUAACACAAUUUCUCUAACUUUUCCGAAGGUUAGAAAAAUCAAACCUCAGCAUCUUGCAGAAUAUAGGCAAAGCACUCCUGAGAAGAUCAAAAGGAUGUGAAGAAAGAUCUUUCAAACUUGCUUCACACAAGUGCAGACUGACUCAGUGAGAGACUGGCGAGACACAAAAUGCUUCUCUGGUGUUCCACCUUGGCACGUUCAGUUCAUAUGCUCAGAGUAAAUACAAAAUAAAGCUGGGAGAUCCACCUCAAGAUGAGAUGGACUACCUACGGUUUUUGUGUCCCUCUCAAUAGCAUUGCCCAUUUUGUAUGAUAACUGUGAUUUUUUAAAAUAAAAGUUAAUAAAUAUAUGUAUUUUUAAAUCCCUUCUAUCAGAAGGACCAAGGACAUUAGCAAUGCCUUCAGUUUCUGUUGCAUUCUUCUUGUGGGCCCAUCAGAGUGUGGCUUUUAGGCAGUUAUUAUGGUCCCAAGCUUGUAAGUACUGGGAGCGUGUGGUAUAAGUGUGCACCUUAUGGUGUGUACUGUGCAAUUUCAAUACAUUCUCUAAACCUUUUGGAAUAUGUAUCAGGUAAUUGGACUUGUAGACCCAGACAUCGCAUUCAGUCCUAUGUGCUUAUAUCUUCUAGAUAGCUGACAAAGCAGGACUUUCAACAAGUAAUCUACAGGUUAUCUAAGACAUAACAUACAGCACUAUCAGAAACCUCAAAGUUACAACUUGCACAAGUCUUACCAUGCAGUACUUCACAGUAAAAGAAAAAUAGUGUUGACAGACACAGCCUGAACUUGUUCUCUCUGUAUUUCUUUUCCGUGUUGAAAUUUUUUUUUUCUUUUUCUUGCAAAAGCAGACUAUUGAACCUUAUCUGUAGGCUUAGAAUUUAUAAUUUUGCUUUUAGACAUAAUUGCAGAAAAAAACAAACAAACAGAGAGAGUAGGUACCUAUCUGCUAUUAAAGCAAGCUCCUAUUAUUAUUGAGAGCAAAUAAAACCUUAAAAAAUUAAGUUGGUUAUUUUUUAUUAAAAAUAACCCAGAGGGUAAGGAGUGUUAAUUACCAAAAUAAAAUGAAAGAAAAUGUAUUUUAAGAAAUUUAUUCAGAAAACUGUUUCAUUAUGAAACCACUGAUGCAAAUUUACAAAAGUUCUAGUAAUAUACUGUUGCUGUUGUACUGAUCUAGAAGCAGUGUCAGUAAUUUGACAGCUGAAAUUAAAAAAUAUAUGUAUCAUAUAGGUAUCAGCAGCUUUAGCAUGUUCUUUGGAGAGACAUACAGAAUUUGUAUAGUUUCAGUAUACUUCCUGGGGUAGUCUGCUGUAAGUUUAGAAACCAACACAAAAAGAAGACAGAAUUUGAAUAAUUAAUCUGGAAUUAAUUUUAAUUCACUAGCUUCCACGUGUAGUAGGUCUGAAAUACCUGAGUAUAAGUAUCAGUGCAUGAUACAAACCAAAAGACUUGAGCCUCCUUGCAAAUUCUGAAAAGACAUCUGCACAGUGUUACAAGCUGAAAGAUAUACACUAUGCAUGAUCUUAACAAAAAUAACUUCCAGUUGUGAAGUUGUUUCUUUUGACCUAAUCUUUGAGUUAAAUUCUAAAUGUACUGAGAUGAAUUUCCCGAAGCCACAGACUUCCCAUGGGACCAAUCCAGCUUUCUCUGAAGCUGAUGGAACGCUAUUGUUCAUUUUCACAUGCAACUUCAUAUCAAAAUUAAUGUAAAGAACAAUUUUUUACCAGCCAUUGUGACUUAUCCAGUCUGCAUACUGUACCUGGGUUUCACUUUCAUUUGACAAGAUUUCCAGAGCUUCAAGAUGAGACAAACCCUGGAACUCAUCAAAAAGCAGUCCAUAAUGUGCUGUCCUUUCAAC